RNAcentral lists this ribosomal RNA (1146 nucleotides) under Achromobacter xylosoxidans. Its description in RNAcentral is "bacterial SSU rRNA". It matches the Rfam family "Bacterial small subunit ribosomal RNA", at positions 370 to 1495 of the family's 1533-position model. The record is from RNAcentral. Lineage: Bacteria; Pseudomonadati; Pseudomonadota; Betaproteobacteria; Burkholderiales; Alcaligenaceae.
CAUGAGGGAAAUACCUCGAUUCAGGCCUUCCGCGUGAGCAAGUAUGCCGUUCGGAUAUGUCAAUGCAAGUUGCAGAAAAGACACGUACGUGGUUCAAUGCCCCCGUGAAACUGACCGAUAACGACUAAAACUAAGCACCAGCUAAUUCCAGCCCAGCAGCCGACUGUAAUAGGUAGAGGCCAUACUUUAAUCUGAAUUGCCUUGAAAGUAAAGCGUAGGGCAGGUCAGUUAAGAAAGUAAGAAUGUGACAUCGCCUGAGCUUAAGAUUUGGAAUUGCAAUAUUUAAUCUACCCGGACUAGAGUAGUCAGAGGGAGAAUGUAAUUCCGAGCGUAGCAAUGAAAUGAGUAGAUAUGCGGACGCCACACGGAUGGCGAAGGCACCCUCCUGAGAUAACACAUGACGCUCAUACACGAAAGCGUGCAAACCAGUCAAGAUUAGAUACCAUUGUAGUCCACGCCCUAAAUGAUGUCAACUAGCUGAUGGGGCAUUUGGUCCUGGGUAACGCAGCUAACGAAUGAAGUUGCCCGCCGAGGGAGUACGCUCGCAUGAUUAUAAAUCAAAGGAAUUGGCGGGGACCCACGCAAGCGGUCGUUGAUGUGGAUUAAUUGGAUGCAACGGGAAAAUCCUUACCUACCCCUGACAUGUAUGGAUUCCGGAAGAGAUUUGGCAGUUCUGGCAAGAGAACCCGAACACAGGUGGUGCAUGGCCAUCGUCAGCUCGUGUCGUGAGAUGUUGGGUUAAGUCCCGCAACGAGCGCAACCCUUGUCAUUAGUUGCUUCGAAAGGGCACUUUAAUGAGACUGCCGGUGACAAACCGGAGGAAGGUGGGGAUGACGUCAAGUCCUCAUGGCCCUUAUGGGUAGGGCUUCACACGUCAUACAAUGGUCGGGACAGAGGGUUGCCAACCCGCGAGGGGGAGCCAAUCCCAGAAAACCGAUCGUAGUCCGGAUCGCAGUCUGCAACUCGACUGCGUGAAGUCGGAAUCGCUAGUAAUCGCGGAUCAGCAUGUCGCGGUGAAUACGUUCCCGGGUCUUGUACACACCGCCCGUCACACCAUGGGAGUGGGUUUUUCCAGAAGUAGUUAGUCUAACCGCAAGGGGGGCGAUUACCACGGUAGGAUUCAUGACUGGGGGAAGUCGAAUCAAG